RNAcentral lists this ribosomal RNA (378 nucleotides) under Vibrio cholerae. RNAcentral's name for it is "partial 23S ribosomal RNA". It matches the Rfam family "Bacterial large subunit ribosomal RNA", at positions 2185 to 2562 of the family's 2925-position model. Lineage: Bacteria; Pseudomonadati; Pseudomonadota; Gammaproteobacteria; Vibrionales; Vibrionaceae. The record is from RNAcentral.
GCCGUCCUUGAAAUACCACCCUUGUAUGUUUGAUGUUCUAACUUAGACCCAUUAUCUGGGUUGAGGACAGUGCCUGGUGGGUAGUUUGACUGGGGCGGUCUCCUCCCAAAGAGUAACGGAGGAGCACGAAGGUGGGCUAAUCACGGUUGGACAUCGUGAGGUUAGUGCAAUGGCAUAAGCCCGCUUAACUGCGAGAAUGACGGUUCGAGCAGGUGCGAAAGCAGGUCAUAGUGAUCCGGUGGUUCUGUAUGGAAGGGCCAUCGCUCAACGGAUAAAAGGUACUCCGGGGAUAACAGGCUGAUACCGCCCAAGAGUUCAUAUCGACGGCGGUGUUUGGCACCUCGAUGUCGGCUCAUCACAUCCUGGGGCUGAAGUCGG